CAGGCUUAACACAUGCAAGUCAAGGGGCAGCAUGGUCUUAGCUUGCUAAGGCCGAUGGCGACCGGCGCACGGGUGAGUAACACGUAUCCAACCUGCCGUCUACUCUUGGACAGCCUUCUGAAAGGAAGAUUAAUACAAGGUGGCAUCAUGAGUCCACAUGUUCACAUGAUUAAAGGUAUUCCGGUAGACGAUGGGGAUGCGUUCCAUUAGAUAGUAGGCGGGGUAACGGCCCACCUAGUCUUCGAUGGAUAGGGGUUCUGAGAGGAAGGUCCCCCACAUUGGAACUGAGACACGGUCCAAACUCCUACGGGAGGCAGCAGUGAGGAAUAUUGGUCAAUGGGCGAGAGCCUGAACCAGCCAAGUAGCGUGAAGGAUGACUGCCCUAUGGGUUGUAAACUUCUUUUAUAAAGGAAUAAAGUCGGGUAUGCAUACCCGUUUGCAUGUACUUUAUGAAUAAGGAUCGGCUAACUCCGUGCCAGCAGCCGCGGUAAUACGGAGGAUCCGAGCGUUAUCCGGAUUUAUUGGGUUUAAAGGGAGCGUAGAUGGAUGUUUAAGUCAGUUGUGAAAGUUUGCGGCUCAACCGUAAAAUUGCAGUUGAUACUGGAUAUCUUGAGUGCAGUUGAGGCAGGCGGAAUUCGUGGUGUAGCGGUGAAAUGCUUAGAUAUCACGAAGAACUCCGAUUGCGAAGGCAGCCUGCUAAGCUGCAACUGACAUUGAGGCUCGAAAGUGUGGGUAUCAAACAGGAUUAGAUACCCUGGUAGUCCACACGGUAAACGAUGAAUACCCGCUGUUUGCGAUAUACAGCAAGCGGCCAAGCGAAAGCGUUAAGUAUUCCACCUGGGGAGUACGCCGGCAACGGUGAAACUCAAAGGAAUUGACGGGGGCCCGCACAAGCGGAGGAACAUGUGGUUUAAUUCGAUGAUACGCGAGGAACCUUACCCGGGCUUGAAAGUUACUGACGAUUCUGGAAACAGGAUUUCCCUUCGGGGCAGGAAACUAGGUGCUGCAUGGUUGUCGUCAGCUCGUGCCGUGAGGUGUCGGCUUAAGUGCCAUAACGAGCGCAACCCUUGUUGUCAGUUACUAACAGGUUCCGCUGAGGACUCUGACAAGACUGCCAUCGUAAGAUGUGAGGAAGGUGGGGAUGACGUCAAAUCAGCACGGCCCUUACGUCCGGGGCUACACACGUGUUACAAUGGGGGGUACAGAGGGCCGCUACCACGCGAGUGGAUGCCAAUCCCCAAAACCUCUCUCAGUUCGGACUGGAGUCUGCAACCCGACUCCACGAAGCUGGAUUCGCUAGUAAUCGCGCAACAGCCACGGCGCGGUGAAUACGUUCCCGGGCCUUGUACACACCGCCCGUCAAGCCAUGGGAGCCGGGGGUACCUGAAGUGCGUAACCGCGAGGAGCGCCCUAGGGUAAAACUGGUGACUGGGGCUAA
This 1438-nucleotide ribosomal RNA is filed under the name uncultured organism. RNAcentral describes it as "16S ribosomal RNA". It matches the Rfam family "Bacterial small subunit ribosomal RNA". The record is from RNAcentral.